AUGUACCGCUUGUACAUUGCGGUUCUGAGCACGCCGUCCGCGCCCACCUCACGGCCACUCGCUAAGUUUUAUUAGCC
This 77-nucleotide small RNA is filed under the name Xanthomonas euvesicatoria pv. allii. Its description in RNAcentral is "sX9 sRNA". It matches the Rfam family "Xanthomonas sRNA sX9". RNAcentral also lists the same sequence under 7 other names. The record is from RNAcentral. Lineage: Bacteria; Pseudomonadati; Pseudomonadota; Gammaproteobacteria; Lysobacterales; Lysobacteraceae.